This 246-nucleotide unclassified non-coding RNA is filed under the name uncultured fungus. RNAcentral describes it as "partial contains 5.8S ribosomal RNA, internal transcribed spacer 2, and large subunit ribosomal RNA". The record is from RNAcentral. Lineage: Eukaryota; Fungi.
AACGCACAUUGCGCCCUUUGGUAUUCCUUAGGGCAUGCCUGUUCGAGCGUCAUUUAAACCCUCAAGCUCUGCUUGGUGUUGGGCGUCUGUCCCGCCUCUGGCGCGGACUCGCCUCGAAGAAAUUGGCGGUUGGUGUAUUGGCCGGAAGCGCAGCAGAAACGCGCCUUUCCUUGCCUCGCGCCUUCUUCCAGGAAGCCAUACUUAUAUCUUGACCUCGGAUCAGGUAGGGAUACCCGCUGAACUUAA